GGUCCCAUGGUAUAAUGGUUAGCACUCUGGACUUUGAAUCCAGCGAUCUGAGUUAAAAUCUCGGUGGGACCU
RNAcentral lists this transfer RNA (72 nucleotides) under Larimichthys crocea (large yellow croaker). It matches the Rfam family "tRNA". Rfam says of the family: Transfer RNA (tRNA) molecules are approximately 80 nucleotides in length. The record is from Rfam by way of RNAcentral. Lineage: Eukaryota; Metazoa; Chordata; Actinopteri; Sciaenidae.